This 1215-nucleotide long non-coding RNA is filed under the name Apteryx owenii (little spotted kiwi). RNAcentral describes it as "lncRNA (ENSAOWG00000000283.1)". Lineage: Eukaryota; Metazoa; Chordata; Aves; Apterygiformes; Apterygidae. The record is from RNAcentral.
AUGAGUUGCGGGGUGGGGAGGAGGGCGGUGCGUGCGCUAUGGGGCCGAGCCUCCUCUUCCUUGCCUUGCUGGCUGCGCUGGUCUCCUGCGAGGAGCCGGAAGGUAACGGGCUGUGGGGGGCUCAUAUGGGCUGGGCUCGUGCUACCUAUCUGGGGGGCUAGUGGGGAGGGUGAUGCUCAGCCCUUUGCCCCCGGGGCUGGGGCAGCAGAGCCRUCCCAGCCCCUCUCUGCCUUGCUCCCUGCGGUGCCAGGAGUCCUGGAUACCUACUGGUCUGGCACGGCGCCCAUCUGCCUGGGGGGCUGCAAGGGGAAGCACAAGGAGCUGAAGAGGAGCCAGUGCGGGGACGGCAGCUGCUGCUGGCUGGGCUACAAGUCCUUCUGCCGAGUGAACUGCGGGCGGCCCGAGGCGGACUUCAACUCCGUGGUGUACGGCAACGACUGGUGGGUCGGCUCGGUGGUGCGCUACAGCUGCCGGCCCGGCUUCCUGCUCCUGGGCGACCCAGCCAGCGCCUGCCAGUCCGACGGCCGCUGGACCCCCAAGCCCACCUGCCUCCGGAUCUGCCUGCGAGGCCGGAUCGAGAUCAACGAGCGGGACAUUACCGGGAGGUGCUCCUCGUCCUGCAGCACCCACCCUCUCCUGGGAACCUUCCUCAACCGCGGCUGCAUCAAGAUCUCGGCCUGUGUCACCAAGCAGCCCGGCUGGGCCCGCUGGUUCCAGCGCUGCGAUGUCUGCGAGUGCGACUGCCACGUCCCGUGCGCUUCCUCCGGGUAGAGCUGAGCUGGCCGGGGCUGCAGGAUCUGACUCCGCUCCGAGAGGGACCUCUGCCUCGGAUGAGUGCUGCCUUCCCUUAGCUGAUCUCCAUCACUGGGCUCCUUUCCCAGCUCCAUCUGCUGCGAGGCUGUCGGUGGGGAGGAGAGGAGAGAGCCGCCUGGACUUGCCCCUCUCGCAGGGCUGCCUUCUCGCCUGGCCCCCUUGCAAGGACCCCCCAGCGCCAGGGGAUGCUCAGCAAGCAGCAGGGGCUGGGGAGCUGCACUCACCUCCCGCAGCUGGGCCCAGGCAGCUGGGCAUCUCGCUUCCCCUGCUGUGUCCUCGAGCCGUGCACGCAGCUGGCCACGCGCUCCUCCCUGCCACCCGUGCAGGGCCCAGCGGGCCGCCCAGCCAGGGUAAACGUGUCCGCACCAGGAAUAAAGCGUUACCGUGAGACUCGCCGCCCCA